GGAGAGGUGGCCGAGUGGUUGAAGGCGGCGGUCUCGAAAACCGUUAUUGGGGGUUUUCCUCAAUCGAGGGUUCGAAUCCCUCCCUCUCCGCCU
Molecule: transfer RNA, 93 nt
Filed under: Actinomycetota bacterium
Lineage: Bacteria; Bacillati; Actinomycetota
Description: Actinobacteria bacterium (freshwater metagenome) tRNA-Ser
Rfam family: tRNA
About the family: Transfer RNA (tRNA) molecules are approximately 80 nucleotides in length.
Source: RNAcentral